This 429-nucleotide ribosomal RNA is filed under the name Gemmatimonadota bacterium. RNAcentral describes it as "Gemmatimonadetes bacterium partial 16S ribosomal RNA". It matches the Rfam family "Bacterial small subunit ribosomal RNA", at positions 355 to 776 of the family's 1533-position model. Lineage: Bacteria; Pseudomonadati; Gemmatimonadota. The record is from RNAcentral.
UAGGGAAUCUUCGGCAAUGGACGAAAGUCUGACCGAGCAACGCCGCGUGAGUGAAGAAGGUUUUCGGAUCGUAAAACUCUGUUGUUAGAGAAGAACAAGGACGUUAGUAACUGAACGUCCCCUGACGGUAUCUAACCAGAAAGCCACGGCUAACUACGUGCCAGCAGCCGCGGUAAUACGUAGGUGGCAAGCGUUGUCCGGAUUUAUUGGGCGUAAAGCGAGCGCAGGCGGUUUCGUAAGUCUGAUGUGAAAGCCCCCGGCUCAACCGGGGAGGGUCAUUGGAAACUGGGAGACUUGAGUGCAGAAGAGGAGAGUGGAAUUCCAUGUGUAGCGGUGAAAUGCGUAGAUAUAUGUAGGAACACCAGUGGCGAAGGCGGCUCUCUGGUCUGUAACUGACGCUGAGGCUCGAAAGCGUGGGGAGCAAACAGG